CUCUGCAGAAUAAAAAUGAAGUAUCCGAGGACCUGCUUGGAGGGAAUGGCAAAAACCAAGUGGAGCAGAGUCCUCAGUCCCUGGUCAUCCUGCAGGGAAAGAACUGCACUCUUCAAUGCAAUUAUACAGUGACUCCCUUCAACAACUUAAGGUGGUAUAAGCAAGAUGCUGCGAAAGGUCCUGUUACCCUGAUAAUCAUGACUUUCAGUGAGAACACAAAGUCAAAUGGAAGGUACACAGCAACUCUGGAUGCAAACACCAAGCAAAGCUCUCUGCACAUCACAGCCUCCCAGCUCAGUGAUUCAGCCUCCUACAUCUCUGGGACUACA
Cebus imitator (Panamanian white-faced capuchin) is the source of this 329-nucleotide long non-coding RNA. RefSeq lists it as uncharacterized. The transcript is spliced from 3 exons. NCBI's taxonomy places the organism in Eukaryota, Metazoa, Chordata, Mammalia, Primates, Cebidae. The record is from RefSeq and is a predicted model, not a curated record.